CUGCCUACACCACAGCCAUAGCCACGAGGGAUCCGAGCCGAGUCUGCGACCCACACCACAGCUCACAGCAACGCCCGAUCCUUAACCCAAUGAUCGAGGCCAGGGAUCGAACCCACGUCCUCAUGGAUGCUAGUCAGGUUUGUUAACCAUUGAGCCACGAUGAGAACUCCUUUUCCAGUUCCUUGUUUGUUGAUUUUGCUUACAGUGGUUUACCAAGAGGAAAUUUUUUUUUCUUCCUAACAAAACAAACACUUAUUUUCCCUGCAAAGCUGAUUCAGGGACUGUAUAUAAAGGCAGGAGGGGCAGCUGAGCAGGGAGCUUCCAAUGCAGCCUGGGCGGCUCAGCCGCAGGUGCAGGCGGGCCUGCAGGGCCUUCUGGCUUCUGUGAUGUGAGUGCCGGACCGGACAGGAGAGGGGCAAAGGAGGCCUUCCCGGUCUCCACUGUGGCCUCCCUCCCCUAAGUGCCAGUUAGCAAGGCCGGGACCCAGCCGGAGCGCCACCGCGUCUGAGUGCGGAGCCGUCAGAUAGAGGGGUGCCGAUGGAGAGACCAACGGCCUGGGCUGAGUCAAGGCAUUUCCUUAUUUGUUUUUGUUGUUUUGCAGGAAGGUCCUGCAGGUCCCCUUCCCGGGCGGGGGAGGGACCAGAACGCCACAACAGCAGCAGCAGGGACUACAGUGUCCACUGCAACUGACCCUUGAAGAACACAGGUUCGAAUGGCCCCAGUCCACUUAGAGGCAGGUUUUUUCCGAUAAAGACACACUGUGGUAAGACGCGAUCGGGGCUGGCUGAGUCCAGGACGGAGGUCUGGGGAGCCGGGGGGCUGACUGCAGAGCAAUACCGGAUUUCUGCCCGUGCAGAGGGUCUGCACCCUUCACCCCGGCACUGUUUAAGCACCAACCGUAUUGAGGGGAAAAAACUUUUUCUUUUCAUGGCACACCCACGGCGUGUGGAAGUUCCUGCUAGGGGUCAAAUCGGAGCUGCAGCUGCAGGCCUACACCACAGCCACGGGCAACGUGGAGUCCGAGCCGCAGCUGUGACCUGUGCUGCAGCUUGUGGCAACACUGGGUCCUUAGCCCACCGAAUGAGGCUAGGGAUUGAACCCACCUCCGCACGGACACUGUACUGGAUUCUUAACCAGCUGAGCCACAGCAGGAACUCUGAAAAACAUUUUCUGUGGCAAUAUUUCUUCUAUGGUUUGUAAGUCUUGCGUCCUAUUGAGAAGGAUCUACAUUCUGAGGCUAUUAGAAAUCUCUUCCUUCUUUUCAGCUGCCCCCAGGGCACAUGGAAGUUCCUGGGCCAGGGAUCAAAAUCUGUGCCACAGCUUCAGGAACGCUGGAUCCUAAAACACACAUACUGCACCAGGGAUCGAACCAGCGCCUCCGUAGAGAUAAGCCAGAGCAUGAACCCACGGCGCCACAUCGGGAAUGCUUCUCUUUCAUAUUUUUCAUCUUUCAGCCGUUUGGACAUUUUACUCCCAGACGGCUACCCAGUUGUCUAAUCCAUUAGCAAACACUGAUCUUUUACUUACAGAUUUAAAAUAUUUUUAAAAAACAUAAAGUGUUUCUACUUAUUUGGGUUUAUUUCUGGAAUUUUUGUUCUGUUAAUCUAUUUAUGCGCCUUACUACCUUCUUAUUUAUUUACUAUUUUUUUACAGCCGCACCUGUGGCAUAUGGAGGUUCCCAGGCUAGGGGUCAAAUCAGAGCUGUAGCCACUGGCCUACACCACAGCCACGCCAGAUCUGAGCCCCAUCUGCAGCCUACACCACAGCUCACGGCAACGCAGGAUCCUUAACCCACUGAGCGAGGCUAGGGAUUGAACCUGUGUCCUCUCGGAUGCUAGUCAGAUUCGUUAAUUGCUGAGCCAUGACUGGAACUCCUCCCACUUCUUUUUAUGGCUUUUCUUUUUCUU
RNAcentral lists this long non-coding RNA (1907 nucleotides) under Sus scrofa (pig). RNAcentral's name for it is "lncRNA (ENSSSCG00055028486.1)". The record is from RNAcentral. Lineage: Eukaryota; Metazoa; Chordata; Mammalia; Artiodactyla; Suidae.